Molecule: ribosomal RNA, 460 nt
Filed under: uncultured bacterium
Lineage: Bacteria
Description: bacterial SSU rRNA
Rfam family: Bacterial small subunit ribosomal RNA
Source: RNAcentral
AACGCUGGCGGCGUGCCUAAUACAUGCAAGUCGAAUGGUAGCAAUACCAUGGCGAACGGGUGAGUAACACGUAGGUAACCUGUCUUUAAGCCGAGGAUAACCAUUGGAAACGAUGGAUAAUACUGGAUAGGACAUUUGAAGGCAUCUUUAGAUGUUUAAAGAUUUAUCACUUAGAGAGGGGCCUGCGGCGCAUUAGCUAGUUGGUGAGGUGAAGGCUUACCAAGGCGAUGAUGCGUAGCCGGACUGAGAGGUUGAACGGCCACAAUGGAACUGAGAACGGUCCAUACUCCUACGGGAGGCAGCAGUAGGGAAUUUUCGGCAAUGGGCGGAAGCCUGAACCCGAGCAACGCCGCGUGAACGAAGAAGUAUUUCGGUAUGUAAAGUUCUUUUAUUAGGGACGAAAAGACAGAUUGACGGUACCUAAUGAAUAAGCUCCGGCUAACUACGUGCCAGCAGCCGC